AACCUUUAGCAAGACAAAUAUUAAAGGCAACGCCUGCCCAGUGAACAAUUAAACGGCCGCGGUACCCUAACCGUGCAAAGGUAGCGUAAUCACUUGUCUAUUAAUUGUAGACCCGUAUGAAAGGCAAAAUGAGGGCCUAACUGUCUCUUAUAAUAAAUCAAUUAAACUGAUCUCCCAGUCCAAAAGCUGGAAUACCUACAUAAGACCAGAAGACCCUGUGAAGCUUAAACUAAACUAUUAAAUCAUAUAAUAGCUCCUUUCGGUUGGGGCGACCUUGGAAAUAAAAAGAACUUCCAAACAAAAUGACCUUAUCUCAUACUCUCGGCUAACAAGCCUGACCACAGACCCAGCAAAGCUGAUAAUUGAACCAAGUUACUCCAGGGAUAACAGCGCUAUCUUCUUCAAGAGCCCAUAUCAAAAAGAAGGUUUACGACCUCGAUGUUGGAUCAGGACAUCCUAUUGGUGCAACCGCUAUUAAGGGUUCGUUUGUUCAACGAUUAACAGUCCU
Molecule: ribosomal RNA, 508 nt
Filed under: Liopholidophis dolicocercus
Lineage: Eukaryota; Metazoa; Chordata; Lepidosauria; Squamata
Description: partial 16S ribosomal RNA
Rfam family: Bacterial large subunit ribosomal RNA
Source: RNAcentral